GGGCGCCCCGGUGCUGGGCAGCACGGUGGUGGCGUCGGCGCCGCCGACCGGCGGCAGCACGCUGGUCAUCGCGUUCGGGUCGUAGGCGUCCA
This 92-nucleotide transfer RNA is filed under the name Streptomyces goshikiensis. RNAcentral's name for it is "tRNA-Asp". Lineage: Bacteria; Bacillati; Actinomycetota; Actinomycetes; Kitasatosporales; Streptomycetaceae. The record is from RNAcentral. RNAcentral also lists the same sequence under 1 other name.